UACGGAGGGGGCUAGCGUUGUUCGGAAUUACGGGGCGUAAAGCGCACGUAGGCGGCUUUGUAAGUUAGAGGUGAAAGCCCGGGGCUCAACUCCGGAAUUGCCUUUAAGACUGCAUCGCUCGAAUUGUGGAGAGGUAAGUGGAAUUCCGAGUGUAGAGGUGAAAUUCGUAGAUAUUCGGAAGAACACCAGUGGCGAAGGCGACUUACUGGACACAUAUUGACGCUGAGGUGCGAAAGCGUGGGGAGCAAACAGG
This 253-nucleotide ribosomal RNA is filed under the name uncultured bacterium. RNAcentral's name for it is "partial 16S ribosomal RNA". It matches the Rfam family "Bacterial small subunit ribosomal RNA", at positions 524 to 776 of the family's 1533-position model. The record is from RNAcentral.